This is a non-coding RNA of Cyanistes caeruleus (blue tit), 1585 nucleotides long. The record is from RefSeq and is a predicted model, not a curated record. Lineage: Eukaryota; Metazoa; Chordata; Aves; Passeriformes; Paridae.
CAAUAGUGGUAAAACUAGUGUUAAUUUUUAAUUUUUUUUUUUUCUGUUGGUAGUUUUCUAUAAUCAGCAGAAACACAUAGUAACUGUACUACAACUCAAGAACAAAACUGAAAAUUUGGAUACAACUGGUAUCAAGGAAACGGUUAAGUGAAGCAAACUUCAAAGGAGCUGGAUUAAGCUGGUCUGUUGACAGAGGAUACCUCAGAGCUGUCAGUCUAAAGGUACCUGCAUUCAGACAACAAUUAGCACAAGAGCAUGAUGAUGGCAUUAACGAGUGUAACGAAAAAGGCUUUCCAUGAAUACAAAAUAAGCUUCCUUCAUAUCAAUCAGAAAACAGUUUUAAAAAUGAGCUGACAGAGCUCAGAACUCCUCAGAGGCUGAACUAUUUUGACUUCAGAGAUACUAGUGAUGAAGCUUGAAAUUCAAACGCUGCAUUAAAAUAUUGUGGAGUCUUCCACCUUUGCUACGUUUUCUUCAUCUCUGUUUUACACAGCAGCUUUCUCUGCUGUGAUUCCAAGCCUCUUUUCAAGCAAGACUUUGUUUCUGUAAGCUGCUAUUAUGGUUUGACAAACCAAGGGAAGCUGUCAGAUAUUUUACUUUGAUGCCGUCCAGAUCCAAACAGAGGAAGCCUUCAGCACAAACAUGUCAUUAUCAUUUCCUUGCUGCCCUUUGUCAGUGAUACCGUCACAAGAGAAAAAGGUUCUGCUUAAGCCACAGGCAUUGAGCUAAUUCUUUCACAGCAUUGUUCCAUACCUCAUGGCUCUUCCUAGGAUGACAUGCUGCUGCACCUAUAUUGGUUGGCAAGAUGGUCCUGUCUAAAGUGAGUAUCCUUCUUUAUUAUUUUCAUACCAGCCAGAAUGUUUGGGAUAAAUGCAGGUUAGAGAAUGGUUGUAACACAUUUCAACCAUUUACAUCGCAACAAAAAGCCAAGCAGUACAUCUCUAGGUGAAAAAAAAAUUGGUUUUGGCUGAAAUAGAGUUAAUUUUCUUCUUAGUAACCAGUGCUUUGUUCUGGAUUUGGUAUAUAUUCAGUAAUGCUGAUAACACACUGAUGUAAUUGUUGUUACUAAGUAGUGCUCACACUAAAUCAAGGUUUUUUUUCUGUGCCACAUGCUGUCAGUGAAGAAUUGCACAAGAAGUCAAGAUAGAACAUGGUGAGGACAGCUGAUCCAAAUUGGCCAAAGGAGAAUUCCCCACCCCUGAAUGUCAUGCUCAGUGUAUAAAAUGGGGCAGGCGACCAAGAGCCACUGAUUGCUGCUCAGGGGCUGGGCAUCAGUCAGUGAGUGGCUUUUGAUCCUUCCUGGACAAAGACUAAUAUUAAAGAACAUUUCACUUGGCUGUGGUGACAUCAAAGAUCAAAAUAAGGAUGAAAAUAAAAAAGAAAGAAUACACAAGAUGGUGAAGGGGGGGAAAAAAAAAGAAAUAGAAAAGAGAAAACUUGAAAAACAAUACUCCUACUAGCAUAUUGAGCACUAUUCCAAAGAGCCAGCUGAUCCUUCCAUCUGCCAGCUGAGUCGAACCAGCUACAUUUCAACUAUCAGAUGGGGUUCUCUGAGGAACCUAGUAACUACAAUAAACAUUUUUGU